Molecule: ribosomal RNA, 648 nt
Filed under: Lactobacillaceae bacterium
Lineage: Bacteria; Bacillati; Bacillota; Bacilli; Lactobacillales; Lactobacillaceae
Description: bacterial SSU rRNA
Rfam family: Bacterial small subunit ribosomal RNA
Source: RNAcentral
AGAUGAUUUUAGUGCUUGCACUAAAUGAAACUAGAUACAAGCGAGCGGCGGACGGGUGAGUAACACGUGGGUAACCUGCCCAAGAGACUGGGAUAACACCUGGAAACAGAUGCUAAUACCGGAUAACAACACUAGACGCAUGUCUAGAGUUUGAAAGAUGGUUCUGCUAUCACUCUUGGAUGGACCUGCGGUGCAUUAGCUAGUUGGUAAGGUAACGGCUUACCAAGGCAAUGAUGCAUAGCCGAGUUGAGAGACUGAUCGGCCACAUUGGGACUGAGACACGGCCCAAACUCCUACGGGAGGCAGCAGUAGGGAAUCUUCCACAAUGGACGAAAGUCUGAUGGAGCAACGCCGCGUGAGUGAAGAAGGGUUUCGGCUCGUAAAGCUCUGUUGGUAGUGAAGAAAGAUAGAGGUAGUAACUGGCCUUUAUUUGACGGUAAUUACUUAGAAAGUCACGGCUAACUACGUGCCAGCAGCCGCGGUAAUACGUAGGUGGCAAGCGUUGUCCGGAUUUAUUGGGCGUAAAGCGAGUGCAGGCGGUUCAAUAAGUCUGAUGUGAAAGCCUUCGGCUCAACCGGAGAAUUGCAUCAGAAACUGUUGAACUUGAGUGCAGAAGAGGAGAGUGGAACUCUGGGUGUGAGGGGGGGG